RNAcentral lists this ribosomal RNA (1023 nucleotides) under Triticum aestivum (bread wheat). RNAcentral describes it as "partial small subunit ribosomal RNA". The record is from RNAcentral. Lineage: Eukaryota; Viridiplantae; Streptophyta; Magnoliopsida; Poales; Poaceae.
AUGGCUUCCUAUUCGGAGAAGCAGGCCAACGACAAGGGUGAGAAACAUCAUGAGCUAGUUUGUGUGACUGGGGCAGGAGGCUUCAUUGGUUCAUGGGUGGUGAAGGCGCUCCUCCUCCAUGGCUACCGUGUCCGGGGAACUGCCAGAGACCCCGCUGAUCACAAGAACGCGCACCUGCUUACCCUGGAGGGAGCCCAGGAGAGGUUAGCCUUAUGCCGCGCCGAUCUCCUGGACCGUGACAACCUCUGUUCAGUGUUCAGCGGAUGCCAUGGCGUUUUUCAUGUCGCCUCCCCGAUCUCGGAAACCGACCCUGAGCUCAUGGUGGUCGCCGUGGAGGGAACCAGGAACGUGAUCAACGCGGCGGCUGACGCGGGCGUGCGGCGUGUGGUGUUUACUUCCUCCUACGGCGCCGUGCACAUGGAUCCCAACAGGAGCCCGGACACGGUCGUGGAUGAGACGUGCUGGAGCGACUAUGACUUCUGCAAGGAGACUGGCAACAUGUACUGCUGCUCGAAGAUAAUGGCGGAGAUCACGGCGAAGGAGGAGGCGGCCAACAGGGGGCUGGACCUGGCAGUGGUGGUGCCGUCGAUGACGAUCGGCCCCGCGCUGCAGCAGAAGCUCAAUCUGGGCAUCGCCUUUAUCAACCGCUACCUCACGGGCGCCAAGAAGACCUGCCCCAACGCCGUGGCCGGCUACACCGACGUCCGCGACGUCGCCCGCGCCCACGUCGUCGUCUACGAGCGCCCGGACGCACGCGGCAGGUACCUCUGCAUGGGCGCCGUGCUGCACCGUGCCCAUUUCCUCCAGCUGCUCCGAGACCUUUUCCCGCAGUACCCCAUCACCGACAAGCGUGAAGAUGACGGCAAGCCGAUGGCCAAGCCGUACAGGUUCUCCAACCAGAGGCUGAGGGACCUCGGGUUGGAGUUCACUCCCCUCAAGGAGAGUUUGUACGACAUGGUGGUAUCCCUGCAGCAGCAUGGUCACCUGCCUGUUGUUCCGGGGCCAGAUGGUCCACGCCUCUAA